RNAcentral lists this ribosomal RNA (672 nucleotides) under uncultured Ruminofilibacter sp. RNAcentral's name for it is "bacterial SSU rRNA". It matches the Rfam family "Bacterial small subunit ribosomal RNA", at positions 801 to 1491 of the family's 1533-position model. Lineage: Bacteria; Pseudomonadati; Bacteroidota; Bacteroidia; Bacteroidales; Rikenellaceae. The record is from RNAcentral.
GUUAGAGUUUCUGGUUGUUUGCGAUCAUAGCUUGUGACUGAGCGAAAGCAUUAAGUAACCCUUCUGGGGAGUACGUCGGCAACGAUGAAACUCAUAGGAAUUGACGGGGGCCCGCACAAGCGGAGGAACAUGUGGUUUAAUUCGAUGAUACGCGAGGAACCUUACCUGGGUUUAAAUGGGGAGUGACAGGCGUUGAAAGAUGCUAUUCCUUCGGGACACUCUUCAAGGUGCUGCAUGGUUGUCGUCAGCUCGUGCCGUGAGGUGUCGGGUUAAGUCCCAUAACGAGCGCAACCCUUGCCGAUAGUUGCCAUCACGUAAAGGUGGGCACUCUAUCUGGACUGCCGGUGUAAACCGUGAGGAAGGUGGGGAUGACGUCAAAUCAGCACGGCCCUUACAUCCAGGGCUACACACGUGUUACAAUGGCCAGUACAGAGGGCCGCUACCCCGCGAGGGGAUGCCAAUCUCGAAAGCUGGUCUCAGUUCGGAUUGAAGUCUGGAACCCGACUUCAUGAAGCCGGAUUCGCUAGUAAUCGCGCAUCAGCCACGGCGCGGUGAAUACGUUCCCGGGCCUUGUACACACCGCCCGUCAAGCCAUGGGAGCCGGGGGUACCUGAAGUAUGUAACCGCAAGGAGCGUACUAGGGUAAAACUGGUGACUGGGGCUAAGUCGUAA